GGACUCAUAGCUUAAUGGUUAGAGCGUCGGCCUACGGAGCCGAAGGUUUCGAGUUCAAGUCUCGAUGGGUCCC
Trachipleistophora hominis is the source of this 73-nucleotide transfer RNA. It matches the Rfam family "tRNA". Rfam says of the family: Transfer RNA (tRNA) molecules are approximately 80 nucleotides in length. Their secondary structure includes four short double-helical elements and three loops (D, anti-codon, and T loops). Further hydrogen bonds mediate the characteristic L-shaped molecular structure. tRNAs have two regions of fundamental functional importance: the anti-codon, which is responsible for specific mRNA codon recognition, and the 3' end, to which the tRNAs corresponding amino acid is attached (by aminoacyl-tRNA synthetases). tRNAs cope with the degeneracy of the genetic code in two manners: having more than one tRNA (with a specific anti-codon) for a particular amino acid; and 'wobble' base-pairing, i.e. permitting non-standard base-pairing at the 3rd anti-codon position. Lineage: Eukaryota; Fungi; Microsporidia; Pleistophoridae. The record is from Rfam.